Molecule: ribosomal RNA, 916 nt
Filed under: uncultured archaeon
Lineage: Archaea
Description: SSU rRNA
Rfam family: Archaeal small subunit ribosomal RNA
Source: RNAcentral
UUUCCGGUUGAUCCUGCCGGACCUGACUGCUAUCGGAUUGAUACUAAGCCAUGCGAGUCUUUGCAGUAAUGCAAGGCAUACGGCUCAGUAACACGUAGUCAACUUACCCUAUGGACGAGGAUAAUCUCGGGAAACUGAGCAUAAUACUCGAUAGAUCAUAAUGCCUGGAAUGGUUUAUGGUUGAAAUGAUUCGUCGCCAUAGGAUGGGACUGCGGCCUAUCAGCUUGUUGGUGAGGUAAUGGCCCACCAAGGCGAUUACAGGUACGGGCUCUGAGAGGAGAAGCCCGGAGAUGGGUACUGAGACAAGGACCCAGGCCCUAUGGGGCGCAGCAGGCGAGAAAACUUUGCAAUGUGCGAAAGCACGACAAGGUUAAUCCGAGUGAUUUCUGCUAAAGAAAUCUUUUGCAAGUCAUAAAACCACUAGUGAAUAAGGGGUGGGCAAGUUCUGGUGUCAGCCGCCGCGGUAAAACCAGCACCUCAAGUGGUCAGGAGGAUUAUUGGGCCUAAAGCAUCCGUAGCCGGCUCUGUAAGUUUUCGGUUAAAUCCAUGUGCUCAACGCAUGGGCUGCCGAAAAUACUGCAUAGCUAGGGAGUGGGAGAGGUAGACGGUACUCAGUAGGAAGGGGUAAAAUCCUUUGAUCUAUUGAUGACCACCUGUGGCGAAGGCGGUCUACCAGAACACGUUCGACGGUGAGGGAUGAAAGCUGGGGGAGCAAACCGGAUUAGAUACCCGGGUAGUCCCAGCUGUAAACGAUGCAGACUCGAUGAUGCAUUGGCAUAUAGCCAGUGCAGUGUCGCAGGGAAGCCGUUAAGUCUGCCGCCUGGGAAGUACGUACGCAAGUAUGAAACUUAAAGGAAUUGGCGGGGGAGCACCACAAGGGGUGAAGCCUGCGGUUCAAUUGGAUUCAACGCCGGGA